CAGCCGCCGCGGGAAAACGUAGGUGGCAAGCGUUGUCCGGAAUUAUUGGGCGUAAAGGGCUCGCAGGCGGUUUCUUAAGUCUGAUGUGAAAGCCCCCGGCUCAACCGGGGAGGGUCAUUGGAAACUGGGAAACUUGAGUGCAGAAGAGGAGAGUGGAAUUCCACGUGUAGCGGUGAAAUGCGUAGAGAUGUGGAGGAACACCAGUGGCGAAGGCGACUCUCUGGUCUGUAACUGACGCUGAGGAGCGAAAGCGUGGGGAGCGAACAGGAUUAGAGACCCCGGUAGUCCCUGUCUCUUAUAC
This 301-nucleotide ribosomal RNA is filed under the name uncultured bacterium. RNAcentral's name for it is "partial 16S ribosomal RNA". It matches the Rfam family "Bacterial small subunit ribosomal RNA", at positions 509 to 807 of the family's 1533-position model. The record is from RNAcentral.